UGUAAUCUUUGAAAGACAUCAGAUGUGUUAUGGUUGCCAGGUAUGUAAUCAUCAUUUUUGAUAUUUGAAAAGGCCGAUUUACAUUAAAAGAGAGUAAAAGAUUACAAAAAAAGCUGAUUACAUUAAAUGUGGAAAGAUAGUCUACCGGUGUUUUCAAUCUACCGAUUAAUGCCCAAAUCUUCCUAAGAUCUUUGUGUCUAGGUUAGGGAGAAUGCUGAUCUUCAAGCCGGAAGCCAUAUAUCUUCAGGCCGAUGCCGAUCCGAUGCCGCUCACCUGAUAAAUGAAUAGAAACUUAGAAAAAGAAACGACGAUAAAAAGGAAACGACGAGAAAAAUAAAAAAGGAAGAAAAGGACGAAUCAGAAUAAAACGGAGAAGAUGAAUCAGAGCUGGAGGUCAAAAGUCACCUGUUUUCUUCACCGCUUCACCAAAAGAAGAUGACAGAUCUGCCAAUAGACCUGUGUUACGCCCGGUUGAAUGACCUUCUCCUGCAUAAUCUGCAGUUCCUUUCUCGCACCAUUCUCAAUACUGAAGACAAAGGGGAGAAACCUUUACUUUGGGGAGGUAUUCAACUGAUAGUUAGCGGUGACUUCUUCCAACUCCGUCCAAUUAACCCUCCCAAUUUCCGAAAUG
Molecule: long non-coding RNA, 631 nt
Filed under: Zostera marina
Lineage: Eukaryota; Viridiplantae; Streptophyta; Magnoliopsida; Alismatales; Zosteraceae
Description: long non-coding RNA (ZMAR_LNC003654)
Source: RNAcentral